CGUCUAUAUACGUAUAGCAUAUCAAUAAGCGGAGGAAAAGAAACUAACUAGGAUUCCCUCAGUAACGGCGAGUGAAGCGGGAAGAGCUCAAAUUUGAAAUCUUCAAGGUUCUACCUUGACGAAUUGUAGUUUAAAGAAGUGUUUUCUGUUGGAGUUUUGGUAAAAGUUCUCUGGAAUAGGACAUCAUAGAGGGUGAGAAUCCCGUCUUUGACCAUUAUUUCCAGCUUUGUGAUACACUUUCAAAGAGUCGGAUUGUUUGGGAAUGCAGUCCAAAAUGGGUGGUAAAUUUCAUCUAAAGCUAAAUACUGGCGAGAGACCGAUAGCGAACAAGUACCGUGAGGGAAAGAUGAAAAGAACUUUGAAAAGAGAGUUAAACAGUACGUGAAAUUGUCAAAAGGGAAGCGUUUGACACCAGUGUUGUUUUCUCGAAAAUCAAUUAAAAAUGGCUUGAUUUUGUGUUGUAUUGACCUUAAAAGCUUUCUGCACUUUUUUCCUGUCUUUUUUAAUGCACUUUUCGUUUAACAAGUCAACAUCAAUUUCUUUUGUUGUAAAAGGGUCAUUGGAAGGUGGCUUUCUUUUCGGAGAAAGUGUUUAUAGCCUUUGGCCUCUGCAAUCGGAGAGAUUGAGGUCUGCAGCGUAGAUCCUUCGGGGUUAGAUGCAUUUGUGCUAAGUUAUAGCCUUUCAUAGACAACUUGUUGACUAUGAUCAGUCAUGUAGCUUACUCGCUUAUGUCAUUUUACCUACGCUUAGGAUGUUGACGAUCAGCUGAGCGCG
RNAcentral lists this ribosomal RNA (774 nucleotides) under uncultured Neocallimastigales. RNAcentral's name for it is "partial large subunit ribosomal RNA". It matches the Rfam family "Eukaryotic large subunit ribosomal RNA", at positions 26 to 627 of the family's 3401-position model. The record is from RNAcentral. Lineage: Eukaryota; Fungi; Neocallimastigomycota; Neocallimastigomycetes; Neocallimastigales.